AUGAUACAUGCCAAAGUCAUGAAACAUAUGGUUAACAAGUUCAAGCAAUUGAUCCAAGAAGGUUUAGUCUACAUGAUAGCGAAUUUUAAGGUUACAUCUGCCAUGAAUUUCCGUCCAGUCGAAGGCGACAAGAUUAUUAACUUCUUGCACACAACAAAAAUUCAAGAGAUUAAGGGACUUAAAAAUAUCACAAUAGCAGAACAAAGUUUCAUGUUUUGUAGUGUUGAAGUUCUUUCCACAAGAGAUGGCCAGAGGAUGUACUUAUCGGAUGUCAUUGGGGUAGCAAGUUAUAUAGGGAAUAUUGAAGAAACGGAGACAACCCAUAGGAUUUCCAAGAUUCGAGAUAUUGUACUUCGAAUUGAGUAA
Molecule: ribosomal RNA, 366 nt
Filed under: Triticum aestivum (bread wheat)
Lineage: Eukaryota; Viridiplantae; Streptophyta; Magnoliopsida; Poales; Poaceae
Description: partial small subunit ribosomal RNA
Source: RNAcentral